This 400-nucleotide ribosomal RNA is filed under the name Lautropia mirabilis. RNAcentral's name for it is "bacterial SSU rRNA". It matches the Rfam family "Bacterial small subunit ribosomal RNA", at positions 30 to 433 of the family's 1533-position model. Lineage: Bacteria; Pseudomonadati; Pseudomonadota; Betaproteobacteria; Burkholderiales; Burkholderiaceae. The record is from RNAcentral.
UGAACGCUGGCGGCAUGCUUUACACAUGCAAGUCGAACGGCAGCGCGGGCUUUCGCCUGGCGGCGAGUGGCGUACGGGUGAGUAAUACAUCGGAACGUGCCCAGUAGUGGGGGAUAGCUCGGCGAAAGCCGGAUUAAUACCGCAUACGACCUGAGGGUGAAAGCGGGGGAUCUUCGGACCUCGCGCUAUUGGAGCGGCCGAUGGCAGAUUAGCUAGUUGGUGGGGUAAAGGCCUACCAAGGCGACGAUCUGUAGCUGGUCUGAGAGGACGGCCAGCCACACUGGGACUGAGACACGGCCCAGACUCCUACGGGAGGCAGCAGUGGGGAAUUUUGGACAAUGGGCGAAAGCCUGAUCCAGCAAUGCCGCGUGUGUGAUGAAGGCCUUCGGUUGUAAAGCAC